CUUGAAAGCCUGGUCUAAUACCGGAAUACGAGCGCUACGCAUGUUGGUGUCGAAAGAUUAUCGUUUUGGAUGGACUCCGCGCCUAUCAGCUGUUGGUGAGGUAAUGGCUCACCAAGGCGACGACGGGUAGCCGGCCUGAGAGGGUGACCCGGCCACACUGGGACUGAGACACGGCCCAGACUCCUACGGGAGGCAGCAGUGGGGAAUAUUGCACAAUGGGCGCAAGCCUGAUGCAGCGACGCCGCGUGAGGGAUGACGGCCUUCGGGUUGUAAACCUCUUUCAGUAGGGAAGAAGCGAAAGUGACGGUACCUGCAGAAGAAGCACCGGCUAACUACGUGCCAGCAGCCGCGGUAAUACGUAGGGUGCGAGCGUUAUCCGGAAUUAUUGGGCGUAAAGAGCUCGUAGGCGGUUUGUCGCGUCUGUCGUGAAAGUCCGGGGCUUAACCCCGGAUCUGCGGUGGGUACGGGCAGACUAGAGUGCAGUAGGGGAGACUGGAAUUCCUGGUGUAGCGGUGGAAUGCGCAGAUAUCAGGAGGAACACCGAUGGCGAAGGCAGGUCUCUGGGCUGUAACUGACGCUGAGGAGCGAAAGCAUGGGGAGCGAACAGGAUUAGAUACCCUGGUAGUCCAUGCCGUAAACGUUGGGCACUAGGUGUGGGGACCAUUCCACGGUUUCCGCGCCGCAGCUAACGCAUUAAGUGCCCCGCCUGGGGAGUACGGCCGCAAGGCUAAAACUCAAAGGAAUUGACGGGGGCCCGCACAAGCGGCGGAGCAUGCGGAUUAAUUCGAUGCAACGCGAAGAACCUUACCAAGGCUUGACAUGUUCYCGAUCGCCGUAGAGAUACGGUUUCCCCUUUGGGGCGGGUUCACAGGUGGUGCAUGGUUGUCGUCAGCUCGUGUCGUGAGAUGUUGGGUUAAGUCCCGCAACGAGCGCAACCCUCGUUCCAUGUUGCCAGCACGUAAUGGUGGGGACUCAUGGGAGACUGCCGGGGUCAACUCGGAGGAAGGUGAGGACGACGUCAAAUCAUCAUGCCCCUUAUGUCUUGGGCUUCACGCAUGCUACAAUGGCCGGUACAAUGGGUUGCGAUACUGUGAGGUGGAGCUAAUCCCAAAAAGCCGGUCUCAGUUCGGAUUGGGGUCUGCAACUCGACCCCAUGAAGUCGGAGUCGCUAGUAAUCGCAG
The sequence is a ribosomal RNA, 1181 nucleotides long. It matches the Rfam family "Bacterial small subunit ribosomal RNA", at positions 149 to 1347 of the family's 1533-position model.